UACGAAGGGGGCUAGCGUUGCUCGGAAUGACUGGGCGUAAAGGGCGCGUAGGCGGAUGGCUUUGUCGGGCGUGAAAUUCCAGGGCUUAACCUUGGGGCUGCGUUCGAGACGGGUUGUCUUGAGUGGGGAAGAGGGUCGUGGAAUUCCCAGUGUAGAGGUGAAAUUCGUAGAUAUCGGGAAGAACACCCGUGGCGAAGGCGGCACUCUGGGACGGUACUGACGCUGAGACGCGAAAGCGUGGGGAGCGAACAGG
This 253-nucleotide ribosomal RNA is filed under the name uncultured bacterium. RNAcentral's name for it is "partial 16S ribosomal RNA". It matches the Rfam family "Bacterial small subunit ribosomal RNA", at positions 524 to 776 of the family's 1533-position model. The record is from RNAcentral.